This 28-nucleotide non-coding RNA is filed under the name Rattus norvegicus (Norway rat). Lineage: Eukaryota; Metazoa; Chordata; Mammalia; Rodentia; Muridae. The record is from RNAcentral.
UAAAACAGAGUGCCUAGGCUAUGCAGAC